RNAcentral lists this long non-coding RNA (15203 nucleotides) under Olea europaea (common olive). RNAcentral's name for it is "long non-coding RNA (OEUR_LNC001836)". The record is from RNAcentral. Lineage: Eukaryota; Viridiplantae; Streptophyta; Magnoliopsida; Lamiales; Oleaceae.
AUUACGCGUACCGGUGGUUCCACAGGGUUUUUGGAACUCCGUGUAAUCUCCAUUGUAACGGAUAAAUUCCACUGAAGCUUCAAGAAAAUACGCUCAUAUUUAUGAUAGUUUUGGAGGUGAAGGAGAAGGAAAAAGCCUUGACAGGAUUAUAAAGGUUUGCGUUCGACUUCAAAUUGACCAAAGUACCCUUGACCUUGAUUUUCUUGGAUUGAAGAUUCUUUUAAAAUCUUCUAUAGGAGGUUUUCCUUGAAAAUUACUUUCCUAAUCCUUAUCUUGAGGAUUUUGCGAACAGUAAUUAGUCUGGAUGAUUUUAGAGGGUAUUUUAGGUAAUAAAGAGAUAUUCAAAAUCGAAUUUACUUUUGUAUGUAAAAAUAAAAAUAACAAGAAGGAAAACGAAAAGAGAAAUAUUUAAUUGAUAAAGCCAGAACAAUCAUAGUGGGAAAUAGAUCAGUGGUGCAGAGGUUGGAAGCAACAAUGGGCAUUCUUGUCACCAGUGAGGGUGAUAAUCCUGCUUAUGUGAGCUUCAAUCAGAUAACAUGUCAUCUCAGUAUUAUGUAAUAAAACUAGUUCUAUGCUCAUGCAAUGCAUGAGAGGCAUAUUUUUUUAAGGCAGUGUUAGCGUGUUUAGUGUUACCAGAAAUCCUUGACAUCUCAUUAAUAUUGGUGGGGCAAAAUACUUUUAUAUUUUGAUUUUUGCUACUAUUAGGGAGUAGAAAUAAUUCUCAAGGAUAGUAAAAUAAUUUUAUAUAUUAUUUGCAAGUAAAAGUAGUGCUCGGUGGCACUCUAUCGAGUAUCUACAUUCUGAAGGAGAAAAAAGAUAACAAAAUACUCAAAGCAACCUUUAUUCCUAUCUCCAAAACAUUAUGACCGUUUUAUUGUCAAAAAAGAAACGGAUGUUUUUCCCUUGUUUUCGAAGGAGAACGAUAAUAAGAUGUUGGGCUCAUAUUUAUUUCCUUACUUCUUUUUAUUUAUUUUUAUUUAUUAUUUGUUCUCUUCGAGUCUGGUUCUGAAUGCCAUGUAAGAUCAUCUUCAACCAACAUAUGAGAAGGCAAGUCAUCCUAGCUCAAUGCUUUUAUGCUACAACAUCGGGUUAAAAUGUUCGGAGCAAAAUGGGAAACCAUAAAACACAGUAACGAAUAUUCAAUGAACUUAUUAACUCAGAUCAAAGUUACUAAAAAUAUAAAAUUAUGUACACAGAAACAAGAAAAGAAAAAAAGAAAGAGUUCAAAAUACACAAGAUUUGAAGCUGAAAUCAUCAGAAAUCAACAAAUGAAGAAAUUGUUUCUCAAAAGGAAGAAAACAUGAACUCAAGAAAAAGAUAAUCCUAAAAGAAGCAACCAAGAGGUCAACAUACCGAUUACCGUGAUAUGCCCUGAAUCAUUCAUGACAAUAGCAUCGACCAUUGUUGAUGUAGUUUUACGAUGCUUAGUUUAUUAUGAUGAUACCAAAUCCGUAGGAAGGCCUCGAAAAAAUUGUUUGCCUUGGAUUUGGAACUCAUUGUGAGGGUUUCUUGUUGUAUUGAAAAUCCAAUUUUCCUGUAGUGUCGAUUGCAUGUUUGAGGAAGUAAAUUCGAUGAAAUCACAGAUUUAGUUUUUUCAAACUCUUCACGAAACAUGAAAUUUUAACCACGUCUUUCAGAAAACAUUCUAAGAAAAUGAUUACAAAUAAGUUGGUAUUGGUUCUGUCGAGACAGGACCAUCGAGUCAUAGUACAAUAGUAACAUACACAAUAUGAACAUGGUCGAUUGCAAUCAAGUUGUCCCAAUAAUAACUAUGCCCCAUUUCCAAGACUAAUUCACAUGGUCGGCCGCAAUCCAUUUAUGUAAUUAUGCGAACAUUUCACACAAUAAAUUAGGAAUAUUGGUAUGAACUUGAAACCAUAAAGUCAUAUUGCAUUAUCAUAAUAAUUGAUAUUUGAUAGGUACUGUCGGUCCAGAAGGGUUUCAAAAUGAAUAUUUCAAUUAUACGGGUGAAGUGAACAAGUAACUAUCAUGUAUUGCCAAAAAUCAUCAAACAAUUGGCAAGUUACAUUUUUAAACUUCAACCUUCUAUGGGAAGAAUUUAUAAAUGGUUGAUGUCGAUGACAAAAAAUGAUGUGGUACUUUUAGAUCAAUUUAGAGGAUUUUUUAAAAAAUCAUCAUGUUAUUAUUUUUGGAAUAUUAGUAUAAUAUAAGGGCAUAAUUUUCAAGAACUUGAAUACAAGUGGUAUAGAGAGAUUUUUAAUAGUUCAGUCCUUCUUUUUUGGACCUUUGCCCCUUUAUAUAGCCCUUUAAAUUGGAGCUUGUCGACUUGCCGCUAUAAUCAUAACAAGCUACAAUGUCUGAUCGAGUACGUGCGACAUCAUCCUGUUUAGAAAGAUUUGAUUGGUUGAAGAUUUCGAUUGCAAUGUGGUCAUCAAGAUACCUUGGGUGUUGCCCCAUACAUUAUAUAAUUAUGAAUUUUCUUUGAUCGAUUUUUGCGGUGGCGUUGCUACCCAAGGGGAACACCUUUUCAAUCAUGUCAUAAUUAUGUUUUCAAAUGACAUCUCUUAUGUGCCGACCUCUACGAGAGGAAUCUUGGGUUGACCUUUCGUGUUGUCAUAUUUGACUUUGAUGAAAAGGAUCAUUCGAUCAAUGUGGGCUCCCAAGUUAUCCGACGUGUAUUAUUGGUAACCAUCAGCUAAUUAAAUAUAGAUAGAAAUGAAUAAUGGAUAAAAGUUGGUAGUCCUUGGGAAGUCUACUAAAAGGUGUAAUUAAAAAUAAAGUUUGACUAUUUAUAAUAAUUUAUAUUAAUUCUUCCUAAACCUCACUUGAACAAAUAAAGCAACAUGAAUUCUCGAAAUAUCACAGAUCACCCAAAUAAAAAUGAAAAUUUCACUUUCAACAAACAAUCUUGCGGUUUGAUCCAUGAUUGGUUGGAAAAGUAUAGGUGGCCGUACUAUAAACAAGGAGGUUCAAUCAAGUGUGCUUCAUUUGAUUUGGCGCACAUAACAUCAUAUUAUUGUGGAGCAUAAGGAAAGAUUCAAUACCUUAGUGUUUUCACAAGGGCCAUGGAAGUUUAACGAAUAUAUCAUUGUAUUAGUUAGCCAAAUUUGGCCUCCAUUUCACCGAACUUCAAAUUUAGCCCUUGUUUGACUUCCAUUAUUUUGGAAAAAUACAUUUUUCAACAGUGUUUUGAUAUUAUUUCAACAAUACAUUCUUUAAUAAAAUAAUAUUAUACGUAAAUUCAAAAUUUUUCUUUAUUUUUUAACUACACAUUCCCAUCAAUAGACUAUUCAAAAAUUCACUCUUCCCAAAAAAGGGGCUCAAACAAGGGCUUAAUCACACAUUUCAUGAAAUCUAUAAUUUUAUCAACUUUUCAACUACACAUUUACCAAUUUAAAAAAAAGUAAAACCAAUUCUACUAAAAAUCUAAUUUUUAUCCAAACCAAGUACGGGACUAGACUUGAGCAUUUGGUAAACACAUAAUUUCAACCACUAUUCUUUCUGGGUUAAAGUAUGCAAUGUUCCUCUAAUUCUCGAUAGUGAGGUUCAUGCAAGACAUUAGGAUGAGACGAUCAUGGCAGUGUAUUCGUAUUCAGGUAAGAUUAGAUAUAACCAGAUGUUUAAUACAUGGCAUUAGAAUUUUGUUGAAGCUUUACAAACUAAAAUUAAUCUUUUAAUUCUAUGAAAGAUUUCGAGCAUUGUGUUUUGCUUUUGGCUUAAAACAUGUAAAAUAACAUAAGUGAUUUUAAAGUAUUCUAACUGUUUCCCACUUGACCCUGAAAUAUAUUUUCGAGCUGCUACUGAAUUUAUGGAAAUCUAUUACAUAUGUCGCUUUGUCACUUGCUUAUUGAAACGUUAAUGAAUUUGAUGAUGUGACCUACAAAAUUUCACAUGUGACAUGAGUUAGAUGUUAGUCGUCACGUCGCCAAAAUCCCAAAUGAUAAGCUUAAGAUCUAUUUUGUUAAUAAAAAAAAUGAAGAAAACAAAUUCUGAACUUAACAGACAAUAGCCAUCUUCACAAACCUCAAACCCCCAAAUUAUGAACUAGGGUUAUUCGUCCUUCAAUUGAAUUUGAGUAACGGAAAUUGUACUCCCAAUUCAACCCAAAUAUGGGUGAUCCAAUGUGGCACAAUCUUUUGGGACAUUUAAAUGAUAGCACCACACUCGUUUUCAAAACUCAAGAGCUAAAUUGGCUAAAUGUAAGGAUCAUAAUUAUUAUGGAUAACUCGUAUGGCCCAUGAUCUUUUAAACAAAUGAAUAACAAAAUGAUUGCAGUCUUUAACAAAAAUUAAAUACUAUGGGUCUUCAAUUGUAGGACUUACUAAAUUAUAGGCUUUAACUAUUUAAAAAUUAAUUAAAAUUACAUAGAUUUUUCAAAACGAUAUUCAUUUCUAUAAGUAAUUUUGUUUUAUACACCUUUUCAUAGCAAUGCCCGUCUUAAUUUUUCACAAAAAAAAAUUCGUCUACCGUCUCACAUUUCCCAUUUAUAUUCCAUAAUAAUUUAGGAUCUGUUUGGUAGGGAUUAUGACAAUUGAUUUUUUGAUAGUUAGAAAGAGAAGUCGGUCCCACCUAUAAGUGAAGAAAUAAAAAAUGACUGCUAAAAUAGUCAAAUAAACAAACGGAAUUUACCCAAUUGUAGUAAAUACUGCCUCAAAAAUUAAUUAACUACUUGACAUUGUUCAAAAACAACGAUUUCCACCUAUCAUCCUCGAAAUCAAAAUUUUCGUCAUAUUCAUCUUCAAACCCGUAAGACAUCGCAUCAUUUUGAUGACCGAAUGUAACAUCAUCGUCGCCACAAGUGAUCUUCAUUAUGAAGAUUCUUCAUCAUAAUUGCCCUAUUCAAAUCUUUGCAUUUUAGGUGUGGUAAUGUUUUCGUUCUGUGAAUGGUCAUUUCUUCAAGAAUCGAGUUUCAAAUCGAUGUGUGCCAUACCAGAACCUUGUUCCUGAAAUGAUAAUUAACAAAGUUAUGGGAAAUAAUAAAGGGAAAAUUGUAGCAGCGGUACUAAAGCUUUCAUUUAUUAGCAGACUUUGCCCAAAUCUUCAUUUUGUGCCAUCGAAGGUCUCAAACCUUUCAUAAAUAUGCAGCCGAAGUCCAGAUGGAUGGAAUCCAUCCAUUUCACCGUUAGUUGACCAAAGAACUGACUUUGACUCCAAUUUUGACCAUAUUAGUAAGGGCAAAAUAGUAACUUGUAUAUUAUCCCAUUAAUUAAAUAAGUUAAAUAGAUAAACCAUAAAAAAAAUGAAAGAAAGAAAAUGUGGGCAUCAUCUUCUUCUCAACCCCCCCCCCCCCACCCCCCACCCCCACAAUCCAAAUUGCAAAAGUUUUGAAAAUCAAGAUGAUGGUACGUCCAUCUUCAAAAUAAACUUCCUGCAAUUUUCUUGAUUGAUCUCUUGUUUUCAACUUUUUGGUCUUUUUAGGUGAAUACAUUUUUAUUUCCUUCUGUCUAAAAAUAGAACACCCAAAAAAGAAACACCAGAUUUCAAUUUGGAGAAAUUGAUGAGAAGAGUUUGGAUCGAGUGAUCAUGUUACCUGCAAGAAACUUCAGCUUGGUCAUUUUAACUAUCAAGGUUGAGAAUAAUCCCAUUUGUGCUGAGAGGAACCUCGGAUCCAUAUCUUCAUUUCACUAAAAGGGAAAAAAAUUGGAUUUAACAGGAAAAAAUCAGAAUAAAUAAAAGGGGAAAUUGGACAAGAAUCGGGCUUUUGAGUGGGAUGGAGGUGGAGGUGGAAGCGGAAGCGAGAGUAGGGUGUGGUGUUGAGUUGGAGAAAGAAGGUUGGAGUGGGGGAUGGUGGUGGCCGGCACCAUGACGAUGGUCUGUUGCAAUUUAGAUUGGGGAGGGGGGGGAGAGGGGAGGAAGAAGAUGAUGCCCACAUUUUCUUUCUUUCAUUUUUUUUUUUAUUUAUGGUUAUCUAUUUAAUUUAUUUAAUUAAUGGGAUAAUAUGCAAGUUACUAUUUUGCCCUUAUUAAUAUGGUCAAAAUUGGAUUCAAAGUCAAUUCCUUGAUCAAUUAACGGUGAAAUGGAUAGAUUUCAUCCAUCUGGACUUCAGCUGCAUAUUUAUGAAAUGUUUAGGACCUUCGCUGAUACAAAAUGAAGGUUUGGACAAAGUCUGCUAAUAAACGAAAGAUUUAGUACCGAUGUUGCAAUUUUCCCAAUAAUAAAUGCAAAGAAUCCUUUUUCGAGUUACAUGUUUGUAUUACACUUUCUGACCCAAUGAAAAUGAAGCCUAAACAAGAGUAGAAAACACUUACCAUAUCAUCAUUUAGAAGUCUCAAAGCAUCAUAAUUGAUUCAUGUCGACAUCACAUGUAAAAUACAAAACAAAUAUACUCCAGUUCGCUCGUAGGGAUUGAAAUCAUCAUACAACAAGAAUUUAACAAAUAACGAAAGACAAUAAUUUCCCUAUUACUCUUAGCCAUGUCUUGAGCUUUACAUUGUACUGUGGCAAACAGAAAGAGAAAAAAGAAUUCCCAUUGAAGCCUAAUUUAUUACCCGCUGUUCCAAUUUCUCGGUGGUUUUAACAGCUUUCCGAGCAGAGGUAGUUUUCUUUGUUUCAGUUUCUGCUUUUUGUUUUUCUUAACCUGAAAUUUAUCACCAAUUUAGACAGCAGUCAAAUUUAAUCCCAAAUUGAAAAGUUCAAAUCUUACAGGGAGGAAAAAGUAUGAAAAGGAAAGUUGAAACCGGCAAGUCGCAAUAUCAUAAGCUGUCAAUGUUAACAUCAGUAUCGAUAAAAUGUAAGGGCCCUAUCGAUAUUUCAACAUCAGCUAAGAAAUGUUUAAAGACUACUAAAAUGCUUAAAACAGGGUUUCUCAUUACAUUUUGUAUAACAAAUAAUUAUGAGACUUGCCAUCGCUAUACUUAAGUUGCAUGGCAUUGACCAAAAACAUAAACACAGAUAAUGCGAGAUGGAGGGAAGAAAAUAAUAUGGAGUCAUGCACAUUAGUUUCAGGGAGAAUUUUACUCACAUAGUACUGCCAGAUAGUUUGCUGUCUGAAGAAAUCUCGUUUCACUUUCUCUUCAAAUAAUUUAGUUAAGACAAUGGUGCUGCGUUUACUGCCUCAUUGAACAUAAUUUCAUAAGUUGGAAUUUGCUAAAAAUUAAUUCUUUUAAAAAAUUAGUUUUGGAGACAACACAAAAUUCUUCAAGAUACGUAAGCUUUGGAGGUGAAACUAGACAUUUCAAAAACAAAUUCUCCAAUCAAAUCAAUCUGAUCAAAUUUCUUCUUUAAAUGUUAUAAAUAAAUACGUCCAUAUGCCAAACUCAACCAAUAAAUGGGAUGCAUUAAUUUGGGAAAUACCUCAAAUUGACCUAAGUAAAGGAAGAAUCCCAAUAAAUUAAGGAUAUCCUGUGCAAAUAUGACAAAUCCUUUCAUUAAGGGUAUUAUAGACAUUUUACCAAAAAUGAAUAAUAGUAGGCCAUUUAUAAAAAUCUCCCCAUUAAUUUCUAUGGUUUAAAAGAAAUAUUGAUCCCAUAUUGUGACUUAAAGAAGACAAUAUCAUAAUAUCAUCUUAUAGAGACUAUUUUGCACAAUCGGAACUAAUAUUAUAUUUAUUCACAUUUUACAUUCUCCCAUAAUAAUUCAAGGACAUAAAAGAUCAAUUAUCAUGAUGGCAGGACAAAUACGUAUAGUUCAAUAAUUCUAUCGGCUAGCACCUAUGUGAGAGCUAGAAGCCUAGAAUCUAUAGAUUGUAUGUUAAAGUCACAAAAAUACAUAAAGAGAAAGUGAGCAUCCGAAUUAACAUAACACUUCAUCCUAGCCUACUUGUAGAAUAGAAAGAAAGUAAAAUAAUAAACAGACAAAAAGGGGAAGGAAACAGGAAAAAUAUGCCCAUACAGAGGAACAAGGUAAAAGAACACAAACCACACCUUAAUUGAGCUAAGAUUAGAUGAAAUGUAAGAAAACAUUGAGGUGAUGCAAGGCUGGUAAGAUAGUCCAAUAACAUCAAUCAAACCAAUUGUAGACUAGAAAUUCUGCCAAAUUACCCCAAAUGCAAGCAAAUCUUGAAGAGUAUUAGUAAACAAGGCUUUACCUUUACAUGUUCUUUAAUCAUGGCUUCCCAUAACAUCCUUUUCAAAUAAGAUAUCCAACAAUCUGAAGAGCAUAAAAAAUUGCUUAAAUGCUUCCCCAACUCAUGUGUCUAGUGAUAAAUGCUUGAUUCCCUAUCAUAUUCUGAAAUAUGGAUCCUUUUCUUUUUCAGGAUAUGAAAUUCUAAAUGACUUAUCAGCUGGUGAAAAUGUUAGAUAUUAUCAACGAACGAAAAAAUUUCGUUAAAAGAUUUCAGCAGAGUACAGGACUAAAGAAGAAGCAUUAGAAACUUACAGGGUGCAUAGAAGUUUUGAUUAUUCAAACAAAAGUAAAGGUAUUCUAAUGGAAAGCAUGAAAGUAAUUUACCAUCAUAAAAAACACUUGUGAGAACCAUUGCCAGAGUUUAAAUGAUAAUGCAUGUGAAACAACAAUGCAUAUGCCUCAGAAUCAUCAAUAUCGGAAAGACUUUCUGAGCCAUCAGAUUUAUUUCUACUUCUUUUCUUGUACCUUUGUUUUUUACCAGAGUUAGUUCUUUUCUUAGUAACUAAAACUUCUGCAGCUAUCCAUUGUCUUAGCACAAAAGAUUCUGCAUAAGAAAUUUCAUACACAAAACUCAUGAGAACAACAUUAAAGAUUACAGCCAGUGCUCUCAGUUGCAACAUUGCAGGUCACGUAGCAACUCCACUCGACGGGAAGUCUCAACUUCCACCGUCUACAAAACAGAUAAUAUAAAUAAGAAAUGUGAGAUUUACAAUAACUAUGAUCUAUUUUAUAUGGCUUCUAGUUGAAUGAAACCUUACAAGGACUUUAUCAGCAUGAUCUUACACUUUGAUAAAAGAAUAAAGUUCCCAUAAACCAACACCCUGCUGGUGAAGGAAUCAGCUCUUGAUAUCAUAUUUGGAAAAAAAAAAAAAAAAAAAAAGUUUCCAAAAACCCUCUUUUAUUGAAAAAAAUAAUAAUAAAAACACAGGAGAAAAAUUGAAAAAACCAAUGAGACUGAUCUUCAAGCAAAUAAAUAACUCGGGAAUUUUUGCUAAUCAAUUUGGACAAAAACAGUAAAUGACUGCCUAUACACUGAAAUAGUAAUAUCACUGCGUAGAAUAAUCAACGCGUAUACAUUCAUCCAAUCUUAGAAAUAUUUAACAAUUUCAUGAGCUGAAAAUUCAUGAAAAUAUACGAGUUGCAAGGGAGUAAAAGGAAAGAAAGAAAUUACGCGCACAGAUGCUUCAAAGGGUUUUUGGAACUUUGAGUAAUCUUCAUCGAUAGAGAAAUACCGCUGAAGUUUCAAAGUGGAUAUGCGCAGAGUAGUUUUAAGUGGAACCCUUGACCUCAGAAUAUUACCGUUAGCAAUUCAAAAAUUAGCACCGACUCAUUCUUACAUAAAAAAAAAUUUUACCGUUAAAAAACCAAUCUUUGCACCUCUCUUUCCCUCCAAAAACACUCUCUACUGAACUCUUUCCGCAUCGAUCAAAAUUUUCUCUCCCUUUUUCAGCCAUGACGAAGUCUAACAACAAUCUGGAGAAGAAAACAAUGGGUCGGCGGAAGAUUGAAAUUCGGAAAAUUGACAGUAAAAACAGUCUUCAGGUUACCUUCUCAAAGAGGCGAAGCGGUCUUUUCAAAAAGGCAGCGGAAACGAGCCUAUUGUGUGGCGCAAAUAUUGCAAUCCUCAUCCAAUCUCCGGGGAACAAAUUUUUCACUUUUGGCGAACCCUCGGUGGAAUCCAUUCUAAACCGGUACCAAUUUCUUGAUUAUUCAUUUUCUACUGAGUCAAACCCGACUCCCCACAAUCUUUUGGUUGAAGAAAGAAGUGAAAAUAAUGAGGCAACGAGGGGAUUUUGGUGGCUGAACGAAAACAUGGAAACUAUGGAGUUGCAGGAACUUGAAGCAUUUGAAGAGAAAUUGAAAGUUUUGCUUCAAGCAGGGGAGAUGAACCGGUACCAAUUUUUUGAUGAUUCCUUUUCUACUGAGUCAAACCCGACUGCCCACAAUCUUUUGGUUGAAGAAAGAAUUGAAAAUGAUGAGGCAACGAGGGAAUUUUGGUGGCAGAACGAAAACUUGGAAACUAUGGAUCUGCAGGAACUUGAAGCAUUUGAAGAGAAAUUGAACGUUUUGCUUCAAGCAGGGGUGAUGAACCGGUACCAAUUUCUUGAUGAUUCCUUUUCUACUGAGUCAAACCCGACUUCCCACAAUCUUUUGGUUGAAGAAAGAAGUGAAAAUGAUGAGGCAACGAGGGAAUUUGGGUGGGAGAACCAAAACUUGGAAAUUGUGGAUUUGCAGGAACUUGAAGCGUAUGAAGAGGAAUUGAACGCUUUGCUCCAAGCAGGGGAGAUGAAUAAACAAAUUGCUUCAGCUUCUUGUUCGAUGAUUCCGCUUCCACACCUGUAGGGUUUUAACAAAAUUUUUGACGUCGUCUGAUUUUUGAGUUACACGUUACGUAUAUAAACAGACAUGAUUAGGUUUUAAAUUUUUUAAUGUUGUCUAAUGUCAACACAAGUUGGCAACUGUUUCAUUGGAUUGUCUUUUUCGAUGACGAUCGACCCUAUUUUUUGUGGAAAUUUUUAAUUGAUUUAGCAUAAAAUCUUUGUUGUUUCUUGAUUUUCAAUUGAAAAGUUUGCGUAAUUUGUUGUUGCUCUUAUACCUCACAGUUUGCCUAAUGUGCGAUCAGCAAAAAGGAUAUUUUUUUUGUAUAGUUUACGCUUUCUCGGUGAUUACAUAAAUUCAUGGAUUAGCAAGAGGUAUUAAUUUAUAAUAAUUAUCACUCAAUGAAAUUACAUAUAAGCAUACAAAAUUUACCUAAUUGUAGUGAACUUUAUUAAAAUUAAUGUGGCCUCUUAUAGAAACUAGAAAGGUCAUUGGUAUACUAAUCUUGAUUCAGAAAGUGUGCAUGGACUUGUAAGGAUACAAGGUGUACUUCCCAAAUCUUUAGUACCUUACAAUUUUUAAGUUCGAAACUUCUUCAUUUAUAGUCAUUGCUUUGAUACUGGCUGACAAGUUAUCCAAUUUCAAACGAUAGCACCUAGUUGUUGAUGAGAUUUAUAGCAUGCUCAUGACCCUUAACGAGUAUGCAAGCAAUAGCAUGUCGACAGGACAUAAGCACGAAGUCCUUUAUUUACAAUAAGAAUACUGACUGAAUAUUGGAUCAAUUUUAUGGAGAAACACUACAGAACAAAAUUUUAAUUCAAGUGGAGUUGAGGGGUAUUUUUCAAUAAAAAUAUAGUAAGCACUGCCUCAAAAAUUAUUUAACUACUUGACAUUGUUCAAAAACCAUGAUUCCCAACUAUCUCCAAACUAAUCCUCGAAAUCAAAAUUUUCAUUAUAUUCAUCUUCAUACCCGUAAGGCAUCGCAUCAUUAUGAUGACUGUAUAUAAAAUCAUCUUCGCCACAAAUGAUCUGCUGUUGAUCUUCAUCUUCAUCAUAAUUGCCCUCUUCAGAUCUUUGCAUUUUGGAUGUGGUAAUGCUUUAGUUCUGUGAAUAAUCAUUUCUGCAAGAAUCAAGUUUCAAAUCGAUGUUGUGUGCCACACCAGAACAUUGUUCCUGAAAUGAUAAAUAACAAAGUUAUCGGAAACAAGAAAUGCAAAGAAUCCUUAAUCUAGUUACAUGUUGGUUUUACACUUUCCGACCCAAUAAAAAUGAAGCCAAAACAAGAGCAUAAAAUACGUACCAUAUCAUCAUUUAGGAGUCUCAAAGAAUCAGAAUUGAUUCUCGAACUUCUCUUCUGCAAAAAUAGGAUUCAUGUCAUCACAUGUAAAAUACAAUGCAAACAUACACCAGCUUGUAGGGAUUGAAAUUGUCAUACAAGAAGAAUUUAACAAAUGACAAAAGACCAUAAUUUCCCUAUUACCAUCAACAAUAUCUCGAGUUUUUCAUCGUAUUGUAGCAAACAAAUAGCGAACAAACAAAAAACCUAAUUUCUUACCUGUUCCAAUUUCUCGAUGGUUUUAACAGCUUUUCUUGCAGAGGUAGUUUUCUUUGUUUCAGUUGCUGGUUUUUGUUUCUUAACCUGAAAUUUAUCACCAAUUUACACAGCAGUCAAAUUUAACUCCAAUUGAAAAUUUCAAAUCUUACAGUGAGGGAAACGUAGGUAAAGGAAUGUUGAAACCUAAAGACAAGUAGCAAUAUCAUAAGCUGUUCAAUGUUCACAUCAAUAUCGAUAAAAUAUAAGGGCCCUACAUCAGCUAAUAAAUGUUUGAAAGACUACUAAAAUGCUGAAAACAGGUUUUCUUGUAAUGUCGGAUAACAAGUAUUUAUGAGACCUGAAAUCACUAUACUUAAGUUGCAUGGCAGGGGCAGAAAAUGUGAACACGGUGAAAGUGAGGUCGAGGGAAGAAGAUAAAAAGGAGUUAUGCACAGUAGUUUAUGGGAAAAUUUUAUUCACAGUGCUGCCCAUUAGUUCAUUUAUGAAGAAAUCUGGUUUCACUUUCUCUUGAAAUAAUUUAGUUAAGAUAAAGGUGCUCCAAUUACUGCCUCAUUGAACAAAACUUCAUAAGUUGGAAUUAGUUAAGAAUUAAUUCCUUUAAAAAAUUAGCUUGGAGGCAAAACUAAAUUCUUCAAGAUACCUAAGUUUUGGAGAUGAAACUAGAUAUUUCAAAAACAAAUUCUCCAAUCAAAUAAAUCUGAUCAUACCUUUUUCUUUCAAUGUUAUUAAUAAAUACGAAGGAUAUAUGCCAAACUCACAACCAAGAAAAUGAAUGCUUUAAUUUCUAUGGUUUAAAAGAAAUAUUAGUCACAUAUUGUGACUUAAUGAAGAGAAUAUCAUAAUCUUGUCUUACAGAGACUAUUUUGCACAAUCAAAACUCAUAUUAUAUUUUACCACAUAUUACAAUUUCCCCUAAUAAUUCAAGUACAUAAAAGAUCAAACAUCAUGACAGCAGGACAAAUACGUAUAGUUCAAUAAUUCUAUUGGCCAGUACCUAUGUGAAAGCUAGAAGCCUAGAAUCUAUAGAUUGAAUCUAAACGAGACACAAAAAUACAUUCAGAGAGAGUGAGUAGAUUGAAUAAUAUAACUCUCCACCCUAACUUACUUAUAGAAAAGAAAGAAAAUAAAAUAAUACACAGAUAAAAAAAGGAUGGAAAUACGAAAAGCAUGCCCAUACAGAGGAAAAAGGUAAAAGAACACAAACCACACUUUAAUUGAGCUAAAACAAGAUGAAAUGUAAGACAACAUUGAGGUGAAGUAAGGCUGGUAAGAUAGGCCAAUAACCCUCAAUAAAACAAAUUAUAGGCUAGAAAUUCUGCCAAAUUACUCAAAAUGCAAGGCAGAUUUUGAGGAGUACUAGUAAACAAGGCCUUACCGUUACAUGUUCUUUAUUCAUUGUUUUCCAUAACAUCCUUUUCAAAUGCAUCUCCUUUUUGUUGUUAAGAUAUCCAACAAUCUGAAAAGCAUAAAAAUUUGCUCAAAUGAAUCUCCAACUCAGGGCUCUAGUUAUAAAUGCUUGAUUCCCAUUCAUAUUCUGAACUAUGCAUCCUUUUCAUUUUCACAAGAUGUAAUUCUUACUGACUUAUCAGCUGUGAAAAUGUUAGAUAUUAUCAACGACCAAAAAGAUUUCAUUAACAGAGUUCAGCAAGGUAAAGGACAAAAGAAGAAGCAUUAGAAAUUUCCAGGGUGCAUAGAAGUUUUGAUUAUUCAAACAAAAGUAAAGGUAUUCUCAUGUAAAGCAUGAAAGUGAACUUACCUCUAUAAGAAAAACAGUUGCAAGAACCAUUGCCAGACUUUAAACAAAUAAUGCAUGUGAAAAAACAAAGCAUAUACCUCAGAAUCAUCAAUAUUGGAAAGACUUUCUGCCCCGUCAGAUUUUGUUCUACUUCUUUUCUUGUACCUUUGUCUUUUACUAGAAGAAUCCUUACUGAAGUCCUGAUGAACGGCUGAAGCAUCUGAGACAUAAAGAAAUUACAUAAACUAAAACUUCUGUAGCAACCCAUUGUCUUAGCCCAAAAGAUUCUGCUCAAGAAAUUUCAUACACAAAACUUGUGAGAACAACAUUAAAGAUUAACGCCAGAUGCUCUUAGUUGCAAAUUCCAGGUUGGGUAGCAACUGCACCUCUGCGGGAAGUCCCAACUUCAACUGUUUACAAAAUAGAUAAAAUAAUUAAGAAAUGUGAGAUUUACAAUAACUGGGUUCUAUUUUAUAUGACUUCUAGUUGAAUGAAAUUUUUAUCGGCAUGAUCUUACAGUUUGAUAUAAGAAUAAAGUUCCCCACAAACCAACACUCUGCUGGUGAAGGAACCUGCUCUUGAUAUCAUUUUUGAAAAGGAAGUUUCCAUCUUUUAUUGAAAAAAUAAUAAUAAUAAAAAGGAGAGAAAAAAUUAAAAAUAUUGAAAACGCCAAUGUGGCCAAGCAAAUAAAUAAAUCAGGCAUUUUGCUAACCAAUUUGGACAAAAAGGCUUAAAAAGGAUAAAUGAUUGCCUAUAUACUAUGAAAUAAUAAUAUCAAUGCGUAGAAUACGCUGCAACAAGGGAAUGAGUCUAGGCGUUUCAAUACUAUCAAAUGACCAUAUGUUUCUAAUUGAAUAAUCAACAUGUAUAAAAUCAUCCAAUCUUAGCAAUACCGAACAAUUUCAUACGCUAAAAAUUCAUGGAAAUAUACGAAUUAAAGGAAAAAAGGAGAAAGAAAGAAAUUACGUGUACCGGUGGUUCCACAGGGUUUUUGGAACUCUGUGUAAUCUCCAUUGUAACGGAUAAAUUCCACUGAAGCUUCAAGAAAAUACGCGCAGAUUUACGAUAGUUUUGGAGGUGAAGGAGAAGGAAAAAGCCUUGAUAGGAUUAUAAAGGUUUGCGUUCGACUUCAAAUUGACCAAAGUACCCUUGACCUUGAUUUUCUUGGAUCGAAGAUUCUUUUAAAAUCUUCUACAGGAGGUUUUCCUUGAAAAUUACUUUUCUAAUCCUUAUCUUGAGGAUUUUGCAAACAGUAAUUAGUCUGGAUGAUUUUAGAGGGUAUUUUAGGUAAUAAAGAGAUAUUCAAAAUCGAAUUUAUUUUGUAUAUAAAAAUAAAAAUAACAAGAAGGAAAACGAAAAGAGAAAUAUUUAAUUGAUAAAGCCAGAACAAUCAUAGUGGGAAAUAGAUCAAUUGUGCAGAGGUUGCAAGCAAUAAUGGGCAUUCUUGUCACCAGUAAGGGUGAUAAUCUUGUUUGUGUGAGCUUCAAUCAAAUAACAUGUCAUCUCAGUAUUAUGUAAUAAAACUAGUUCAAUGCUUGUGCAAUGCACGAGUGGCGUGUUUUUUUAAGG